GGCAACGAUGGACACUUACAAGAGAUGGUUAAAAGAAAAACGGGAAACCCAUAAAUCAAAUUUCCUCUCUUUCUUUGAUUUUCCAGACAUGUAACAAUCCCUACCGCAAAGAGAAAGGUAGACAUCUGACUAUGUCUGAUUGAAUCAACCAAAUCUCUACAUACAUAAUGCAUGAAGUCUUGAGUGGUAUAGUGUACAGAGAUUGCAUAUGCUCAAGCAAAUAUAUGCAAAUGCAAAACAAGUCAAUGAGAGAGAUGCAGAGUCCAGAUGUAGCUCAAAUAAUAAUUAACCAAUAUUAUUGGGCAACGAUGGACACUUACAAGAGAUGGUUAAAAGAAAAACGGGAAACCCAUAAAUCAAAUUUCCUCUCUUUCUUUGAUUUUCCAGACAUGUAACAAUCCCUACCGCAAAGAGAAAGGUAGACAUCUGACUAUGUCUGAUUGAAUCAACCAAAUCUCUACAUACAUAAUGCAUGAAGUCUUGAGUGGUAUAGUGUACAGAGAUUGCAUAUGCUCAAGCAAAUAUAUGCAAAUGCAAAACAAGUCAAUGAGAGAGAUGUAGAGUCCAGAUGUAGCUCAAAUAAUAAUUAAACCAAUAUUAUUGGGCAACGAUGAACACUUAAAAGAGAUGGUUAAAAGAAAAACGGGAAACCCAUAAAUCAAAUUUCCUCUCUUUCUUUGAUUUUCCAGACAUGUAACAAUCCCUACCACGAUAAUACACAGUAGGCAUCUGACUAUGUCUGGUAUAAAAUCAUUGCAAUCAAACCGCCUUGAAGUAGACUCAAAAAUGAAAUAUUAGCACUUCGCAGCCAAUCUUUAGUGAAAAAGCAAUUUUUUU
Molecule: long non-coding RNA, 837 nt
Filed under: Jatropha curcas
Lineage: Eukaryota; Viridiplantae; Streptophyta; Magnoliopsida; Malpighiales; Euphorbiaceae
Description: long non-coding RNA (JCUR_LNC000825)
Source: RNAcentral